UCCCUGGUGGCUCAGCAGGAUAAGGAUCUAGCAUUGUCACUGCUGUGGCUCAGGUUCGAUCCCUGACCGGGGAA
Molecule: transfer RNA, 74 nt
Filed under: Sus scrofa (pig)
Lineage: Eukaryota; Metazoa; Chordata; Mammalia; Artiodactyla; Suidae
Rfam family: tRNA
About the family: Transfer RNA (tRNA) molecules are approximately 80 nucleotides in length. Their secondary structure includes four short double-helical elements and three loops (D, anti-codon, and T loops).
Source: Rfam by way of RNAcentral